This 439-nucleotide ribosomal RNA is filed under the name uncultured bacterium. RNAcentral's name for it is "partial 16S ribosomal RNA". It matches the Rfam family "Bacterial small subunit ribosomal RNA", at positions 338 to 795 of the family's 1533-position model. The record is from RNAcentral.
CCUACGGGCGGCAGCAGUGAGGAAUAUUGGUCAAUGGGGGAAACCCUGAUGCAGCGACGCCGCGUGAGUGAAGAAGUAUCUCGGUACGUAAAGCUCUAUCAGCAGGGAAGAAAAUGACGGUACCUGACUAAGAAGCCCCGGCUAACUACGUGCCAGAAGCCGCGGUAAUACGUAGGAUGCGAGCGUUAUCCGGAUUUACUGGGUUUAAAGGGUGCGUAGGCGGUCCGUUAAGUCAGCGGUAAAAUUGCGGGGCUCAACCCCGUCGAGCCGUUGAAACUGGCAGACUUGAGUUGGCGAGAGGUACGCGGAAUGCGCGGUGUAGCGGUGAAAUGCAUAGAUAUCGCGAAGAACUCCGAUUGCGAAGGCAGCGUACCGGCGCCAGACUGACGCUGAGGCACGAAAGCGUGGGGAUCGAACAGGAUUAGAUACCCGAGUAGUC